AGGUGGAGUGGCAGUUGCUGUAGAGAGGUCCAUUGCAUGUCAACAUGUGGACGUCCAUUCGUCACUUGAAGCUGAAGUGAUCUGAGCAGUUUUCGAUAAGAAGAUGCGUGGUGUGGAACAGUGAAAAUUCAACAGAAACUGCAAUGAAGAGACCAACCAUCUCCUCCAGCUCCCAACUCUUCCAGUGCUCCGCCAAAGGCCAUGGAGGUGUGUGCCACCGGUGGACAAAGUGCAUCAUGUUGUGACCCCAACC
Molecule: long non-coding RNA, 253 nt
Organism: Dermacentor albipictus
Lineage: Eukaryota; Metazoa; Arthropoda; Arachnida; Ixodida; Ixodidae
Source: RefSeq, a predicted model, not a curated record